AACGCGAAGAACCUUACCUGGGCUUGACAUACACCGGAUCGGGCUAGAGAUAGUCUUUCCCUUUGUGGCUGGUGUACAGGUGGUGCAUGGUUGUCGUCAGCUCGUGUCGUGAGAUGUUGGGUUAAGUCCCGCAACGAGCGCAACCCUUGUCUUAUGUUGCCAGCAUUUGGUUGGGGACUCAUGAGAGACUGCCGGGGUCAACUCGGAGGAAGGUGGGGAUGACGUCAAAUCAUCAUGCCCCUUAUGUCCAGGGCUUCACACAUGCUACAAUGGUCGGUACAACGCGCAGCGACACUGUGAGGUGGAGCGAAUCGCUGAAAGCCGGCCUUAGUUCGGAUUGGGGUCUGCAACUCGACCCCAUGAAGUCGGAGUCGCUAGUAAUCGCAGAUCAGCAACGCUGCGGUGAAUACGUUCCCGGGUCUUGUACACACCG
RNAcentral lists this ribosomal RNA (433 nucleotides) under uncultured bacterium. Its description in RNAcentral is "bacterial SSU rRNA". It matches the Rfam family "Bacterial small subunit ribosomal RNA", at positions 958 to 1392 of the family's 1533-position model. The record is from RNAcentral.